This 99-nucleotide ribosomal RNA is filed under the name Pakaraimaea dipterocarpacea. RNAcentral describes it as "partial 5.8S ribosomal RNA". It matches the Rfam family "5.8S ribosomal RNA", at positions 61 to 154 of the family's 154-position model. Rfam says of the family: 5.8S ribosomal RNA (5.8S rRNA) is a component of the large subunit of the eukaryotic ribosome. It is transcribed by RNA polymerase I as part of the 45S precursor that also contains 18S and 28S rRNA. Lineage: Eukaryota; Viridiplantae; Streptophyta; Magnoliopsida; Malvales; Cistaceae. The record is from RNAcentral.
CUUGGUGUGAAUUGCAGAAUCCCGUGAACCAUCGAGUCUUUGAACGCAAGUUGCGCCCCAAGCCAUCAGGCGGAGGGCACGUCUGCCUGGGUGUCACGC